GCUAUAAACUUAUCGAAAAUACAAACAAUGUGCAUAUUCCACUACAAAUUAAUGUAAUUCAGUAAUAAUUACAACUAAAAUAACAAAAAAGAAGUUAAUCCACUUUUUGUUCCUGGUUCGCUGAAAUCCGAAAGCUUCUUCCUUGUUUCAACAAUUUCAUCAAAAAAUCACCAAGAACAAAAACAUUGCCAAAACUAAAAGAACAAAAAUCAGCCGUUAAAAUAACAUCCAUUAUCAAAUUAAUUAAAUUCAACUGGUGAGAACGGUCCAAAAAUCAAAACAUGGAAAAAAAAUUCAAGUAAUACACAUAUCAUCACACAAUUAAUAUUUCAAAUCUCAAAAGAAAAAAGAUAUACUGAUCAAUAAGAAUUUUAUCAAAAUUAAUUGUAGUUUAUCGCGCAAAUCAGAUGAGAAUACAAAUCAAUUACGUACGAUUAAGUCGUUCUUCUGUUGCGAUGUUGCACGGAAACCCUAGCACGGGUUUUAACGAAGCAGCCGCGCACCAUUGUGCUUCUCU
RNAcentral lists this long non-coding RNA (517 nucleotides) under Erythranthe guttata (spotted monkey flower). RNAcentral's name for it is "long non-coding RNA (EGUT_LNC000720)". The record is from RNAcentral. Lineage: Eukaryota; Viridiplantae; Streptophyta; Magnoliopsida; Lamiales; Phrymaceae.